UGGUGUUAUUCAACUAUGGAGUU
RNAcentral lists this non-coding RNA (23 nucleotides) under Arabidopsis thaliana (thale cress). The record is from RNAcentral. Lineage: Eukaryota; Viridiplantae; Streptophyta; Magnoliopsida; Brassicales; Brassicaceae.